UAGGGAAUCUUCCACAAUGGACGCAAGUCUGAUGGAGCAACGCCGCGUGAGUGAAGAAGGUUUUCGGAUCGUAAAGCUCUGUUGUUGGUGAAGAAGGAUAGAGGCAGUAACUGGCCUUUAUUUGACGGUAAUCAACCAGAAAGUCACGGCUAACUACGUGCCAGCAGCCGCGGUAAUACGUAGGUGGCAAGCGUUGUCCGGAUUUAUUGGGCGUAAAGCGAGCGCAGGCGGAAGAAUAAGUCUGAUGUGAAAGCCCUCGGCUUAACCGAGGAAUUGCAUCGGAAACUGUUUUUCUUGAGUGCAGAAGAGGAGAGUGGAACUCCAUGUGUAGCGGUGGAAUGCGUAGAUAUAUGGAAGAACACCAGUGGCGAAGGCGGCUCUCUGGUCUGCAACUGACGCUGAGGCUCGAAAGCAUGGGUAGCGAACAGAAUUAGAUACCCUGGUAGUCCAUGCCGUAAACGAUGAGUGCUAAGUGUUGGGGAGGUUUUCCGCCUCUCAGUGCUGCAGCUAACGCAUU
Molecule: ribosomal RNA, 517 nt
Filed under: uncultured bacterium
Lineage: Bacteria
Description: partial 16S ribosomal RNA
Rfam family: Bacterial small subunit ribosomal RNA
Source: RNAcentral